CAGCCGCCGCGGGAAUACGGAGUGGGCUAGCGUUGUUCGGAAUUACUGGGCGUAAAGGGUGCGUAGGCGGGUUUUUAAGUCAGAGGUGAAAUCCUGGAGCUCAACUCCAGAACUGCCUUUGAUACUGAAAGUCUUGAGUAUGGGAGAGGUGAGUGGAACUGCGAGUGUAGAGGUGAAAUUCGUAGAUAUUCGCAAGAACACCAGUGGCGAAGGCGGCUCACUGGCCCAUAACUGACGCUGAGGCACGAAAGCGUGGGGAGCAAACAGGAUUAGAUACCCCCGUAGUCCCUGUCUCUUAUAC
This 301-nucleotide ribosomal RNA is filed under the name uncultured bacterium. Its description in RNAcentral is "partial 16S ribosomal RNA". It matches the Rfam family "Bacterial small subunit ribosomal RNA", at positions 509 to 807 of the family's 1533-position model. The record is from RNAcentral.